GCCACCUUAGCUCAGUGGUAGAGCAACUGUUUCGUAAAUAGUAGGUCGUGGGUUCAAGUCCCUCAGGUGGCU
RNAcentral lists this transfer RNA (72 nucleotides) under Chlorobiaceae bacterium. RNAcentral describes it as "tRNA-Thr". It matches the Rfam family "tRNA". From Rfam's summary of the family: Transfer RNA (tRNA) molecules are approximately 80 nucleotides in length. Their secondary structure includes four short double-helical elements and three loops (D, anti-codon, and T loops). RNAcentral also lists the same sequence under 1 other name. Lineage: Bacteria; Pseudomonadati; Chlorobiota; Chlorobiia; Chlorobiales; Chlorobiaceae. The record is from RNAcentral.